UGUUUGCAGACAUUGGACAACUGGUC
This 26-nucleotide non-coding RNA is filed under the name Homo sapiens (human). The record is from RNAcentral. Lineage: Eukaryota; Metazoa; Chordata; Mammalia; Primates; Hominidae.